This 1741-nucleotide long non-coding RNA is filed under the name Rattus norvegicus (Norway rat). RNAcentral's name for it is "long non-coding RNA NONRATT002931". Lineage: Eukaryota; Metazoa; Chordata; Mammalia; Rodentia; Muridae. The record is from RNAcentral.
CGCAGCGGUUGGGAACACAGACAUUUUCGGAGCUGGAGCCGCCACUGCCGCCGCCAUUUUGUGUCUGUGGAGAAAGAAGCCCCGGCGGCGGCUGGAAGUAGACGGAGAUUCCCCGUGAGGCUGCGGCGUUUCUUCCCCGAGGUUCCCCCUGGGUCGUCCCCCAUCCCCCCUCCGCGGUCAGCAUGUGGUGAAGCCGCAGCCGCCGGAGACCCGGGGAGCGAGGCCGAGGCGUCGGAAGGGAGGCGGGGUGUCGAGCGGCUUCAGCUUCGGCGGCGGCGGACCUCGGAGGGGGGCCGCGGCGCAAUGUCAGAGCAGACGCCCGCCGAGGCCGGGGCUGCGGGGGCCCGGGAGGACGCCUGUCGGGAUUAUCAGUCGUCGCUGGAAGACCUGACCUUCAAUAGCAAACCGCACAUCAAUAUGCUGACCAUUCUAGCCGAGGAGAACCUGCCCUUCGCCAAGGAGAUCGUCUCUCUCAUCGAGGCCCAAACCGCCAAGGUUUUUAUACACCCCGCAGCCUCCUAUUCUUCUAAUACUCCUUGAUUUUAGUGUCAGCCUCAUCCCAGGUCUCGCUUCCAUCCGAAGGGGGACGGAGUUCCUCCUUUCCAACCCCCCACCCCCGACUCGGGCUUGGUCUUUGGCCCCGGCUGGGAGCGUGGGCCUCUUUCGGGGAGGGAGCGGGGAGGAUGCAGGGUGGAGCCCCAUUUCCGCUUACCAACUCCCUAUUUAGGCCACCUCUGAGUACGUCCCCACGCUCGCACGCAUUGGGUUCAACCCUUUUCGGAUGGGGGAAUACUUAGAGACAGUUUGUGUUUUGGGAGCGAAAGAGUUAAAAACAAACCAUCUUAAGCCCUUGGGAAGGUGGGGAGGGGCUUUCCCUCAGUGUCCUUUUUGGGGAAUUGUGCUCUGUGGAUUGGAAGGAGGUGAAGGGGGACCUGGGAGCGAGCUGUCGGUGGGUUGGGUAUAGGGAAUUGGCCCCGAGUGGAGCAGCGGCCUGUUAGCUCAACAUGGCGCCUGCAAAGCACAUGAUGCGAAAGGGAAGAGAGGAGAAACCGUUCCCUGCCAGCCAGGCAGCUGCUCGCACCCGUCAACCCCAUUUUGGGGUGGGGGCUGUUAGAUCAAACUUUUAUUCUCCUCUCGGAGGGUCUAAUUUUGCCCCAGUGGUAGGGAAAUUGGGCCGAGGGUGGGGUUUGGGCGUGUGGGGGGAGAUCUUAUCCAACCUGUAGGUGGAGAAUUGGCCCAGUGGGUAACAAAUACUUGGAGUUUCUUUGAAAAUUUCAGUCCCUCCUUUCCUAUUCUCUUUUUCUCCCUCCCCUGAUAGUGAAGGCUUGCUUUUCUUCACCCCUUGACCGAAGUGGUCCUUUGCUACCUUCUGUUUUCCCUCUGGUCUUCCUUUUCUGUGGAUUCAUGUGGGAGCGAUAUGUCAUUUAAGUAAAGUUACUGUUAAACUUAGUUAUAUUGAGUCUUAACCGCUUCCCAAUUAAUACGUUUUAAGUUACUUUUCAAGCUUGUACUUAAGGUUUAGUUUUUUUUUUCUCUAGUUGUUAGUGAUUGCAAUUAUCAGGAUGAGCCUCCUUUUAGCAGAGUGAACCCCUUUUAAAAGGCCACUUUUAACAACAACCACCAAUAUAUUGUUUAGAGACGGUUUCUGUCUAGUGUACAACUGAGUGGUCUGACUCUAAUAAAUGGUUUUGAAAUGUGUGACUGGUAUUAUAAAAUUUGUGAAUAAAACAUAUAAAAUAUG